GCAUAUCAAUAAGCGGAGGAAAAGAAACUAACAAGGAUUCCCCUAGUAACUGCGAGUGAAGCGGGAAAAGCUCAAAUUUAAAAUCUGACGGUCUUUUGGUCGUCCGAGUUGUAAUCUAGAGAAGUGUUAUCCGCGUUGGACCGUGUACAAGUCUCCUGGAAUGGAGCGUCAUAGAGGGUGAGAAUCCCGUCUUUGACACGGACUACCAGUGCUUUGUGAUGCGCUCUCAAAGAGUCGAGUUGUUUGGGAAUGCAGCUCAAAAUGGGUGGUAAAUUCCAUCUAAAGCUAAAUAUUGGCGAGAGACCGAUAGCGAACAAGUACCGUGAGGGAAAGAUGAAAAGAACUUUGGAAAGAGAGUUAAACAGUACGUGAAAUUGCUGAAAGGGAAACGCUUGAAGUCAGUCGCGUUGUCCGGGAAUCAACCUUGCUUUUGCUGGGUGUACUUUCCGGUUGACGGGUCAGCAUCAAUUUUGACCGUUGGAUAAAGUGUAGGGGAAUGUGGCAUCUUCGGAUGUGUUAUAGCCCUUGCUCGCAUACAACGGUUGGGAUUGAGGAACUCAGUACGCCGCAAGGCCGGGAAUUUAUUCUACGUUCGUACUUAGGAUGCUGGCAUAAUGGCUUUAAUCGACCCGUCUUGAAACACGGACCAAGGAGUCUAACAUGCCUGCGAGUGUUUGGGUGGAAAACCCGAGCGCGUAAUGAAAGUGAAAGUUGAGAUCCCUGUCGUGGGGAGCAUCGACGCCCGGACCAGACCUUUUGUGACGGAUCUGCGGUAGAGCAUGUAUGUUGGGACCCGAAAGAUGGUGAACUAUGCCUGAAUAGGGUGAAGCCAGAGGAAACUCUGGUGGAGGCUCGUAGCGAUUCUGACGUGCAAAUCGAUCGUCAAAUUUGGGUAUAGGGGCGAAAGACUAAUCGAACCAUCUAGUAGCUGGUCCUGC
This 938-nucleotide ribosomal RNA is filed under the name Deconica montana. RNAcentral describes it as "LSU rRNA". It matches the Rfam family "Eukaryotic large subunit ribosomal RNA", at positions 38 to 960 of the family's 3401-position model. The record is from RNAcentral. Lineage: Eukaryota; Fungi; Basidiomycota; Agaricomycetes; Agaricales; Kuehneromycetaceae.